RNAcentral lists this ribosomal RNA (253 nucleotides) under uncultured bacterium. Its description in RNAcentral is "partial 16S ribosomal RNA". It matches the Rfam family "Bacterial small subunit ribosomal RNA", at positions 524 to 776 of the family's 1533-position model. The record is from RNAcentral.
UACGGAGGGUGCAAGCGUUAUCCGGAUUUACUGGGUUUAAAGGGCGCGUAGGUGGGUCUGUAAGUCAGUGGUGAAAUCUCCGGGCUUAACUCGGAAACUGCCAUUGAUACUAUAGGUCUUGAAUUAUCUGGAGGUGAGCGGAAUAUGUCAUGUAGCGGUGAAAUGCUUAGAUAUGACACAGAACACCGAUUGCGAAGGCAGCUCACUAAACUGUAACUGACGCUGAGGCACGAAAGCGUGGGGAGCAAACAGG